This 253-nucleotide ribosomal RNA is filed under the name uncultured bacterium. RNAcentral's name for it is "partial 16S ribosomal RNA". It matches the Rfam family "Bacterial small subunit ribosomal RNA", at positions 524 to 776 of the family's 1533-position model. The record is from RNAcentral.
UACGAAGGGGGCUAGCGUUGCUCGGAAUCACUGGGCGUAAAGCGCACGUAGGCGGAUUUGUCAGUCAGGGGUGAAAUCCCGGGGCUCAACCUCGGAACUGCCUCUGAUACAGCAAGUCUUGAGUCCGAUAGAGGUGGGUGGAAUUCCUAGUGUAGAGGUGAAAUUCGUAGAUAUUAGGAAGAACACCGGUGGCGAAGGCGGCCCACUGGAUCGGUACUGACGCUGAGGUGCGAAAGCGUGGGGAGCAAACAGG